Long non-coding RNA from Sebastes umbrosus (honeycomb rockfish), 1390 nucleotides. RefSeq lists it as uncharacterized. The transcript has 2 exons. Lineage: Eukaryota; Metazoa; Chordata; Actinopteri; Perciformes; Sebastidae. The record is from RefSeq and is a predicted model, not a curated record.
AGGAUGAAUCCUUUUAAAAAUGACAAAAACAGUACCUGUUUAUAAUUUAAUCAAUAGUAUUUUAAUUAUUUUAUGUAUAGAGAGAUUGAGUUGCAGUAAAACAUUAAGUAGUAAUCAUUCCUGAAAAUGACCUAAAGCAAAGGAGAACAUGUGUAAUUACAAAUGACGUGUUUGUUAGCCAUUAAAGGACGACUGUAAAAAGUACAAGAACGAUCAGAAUUCAUCAAAGGUUUUUGUUUAAUUAGAAAUAUUCUUUUUAUUAUUAUUUUACAAGAUGAUUAAGAUGCAUGAUUCUUUUUUUCUUUGAAUAUUUAAAAGACAUUUUUUAAAAGAAGGAAUGAAGCAGUUUCUAGGUUUUCAGAUAUUAUGGAGACAUUUUCAUUCCUCUAAAAACGGGAAUGUAAGAUAUGAUUUGACUUUUGUUUUUAUGUUUUUACUUUGAUGUGAAAAUCUCAUCAAACAGAAAUGACAUGAAACUGUAAGUUGUUUGCUUUUCUAAAAAAAAAGUUGAUCAAGGUGCAAAAUGAGUUCUGAGAAGUAUAUUCUUCAUUCAUCCAAAGAUGUGUAUUUUUAAUACAAUAUGCAUGAAAUGUUCUUCUCACAGUUUAAAGAGCAAAUAAAGAUGUAGGAUGUUAAGCUGAGGCUUGUUGACAGACGUGUACAUAGUUUAAUUCAUUCAGAAUAAGAAAUGGCAGCCAUAAUUGGUUGUAAUUUUAAUUUUCACUUUUUUUUCUAUAAUACAGAUCUCAUUAAAAUGCAUCAUAACAGGCAACACAAGUUUUGAUUAAAGUUGUAUAUAAAUAUCUCUGUAAUUGUAUUUUUUGUAAACUAUCUUAUGAGGGGUUUUGAAAGAAUUUUUCAAUAGAUUAAGAAUUAGUUAUAAGGUGGAUGUCCUGACAUUGAAUUAAUGAAGUGUUGAUUAUGAAAAUGCAUGAAACUUGUAUUUGAGACUUGUUGAGUUACACGAAAAGGGAAAGAGUUGUGAGAAGUUGACAUUAUGUAAAAAAGAAAGAAUGGAUUUUUUUUUUAUUGUUAACCAUUUAGCUAUUUGUUGUCCAACUCAUCUGAAAAUCAUUUUUACACAAACAUUUUCAUCGUACUAUUUUGUAUGUUUUUUUCUUCAAUAAUUUGAUGAACAAUGCUUCAUCUUUCUGAAUUUCUUGGAGUAUUCAACUAUUUUUAUACUUAUUACUUAUAUUAUCUCUUUUUAAAUGAUCUUAUUACAGUUACUUUUUACUACUGCCAAUAUUGGAAUUAGUUUUGUUGUUUGAUUUAUUAGACUCUUGUCAUUGCUACAGUAUAUUGAUAUUCAUAAUUACUAACAGAAAUAUCAGUCUUUAUGGAAAAAAAUGGGAUAUUUUCUUUUUCUGUAAUAAAUCAGUCAAUGGAG